AUUGAACGCUGGCGGCAGGCCUAACACAUGCAAGUCGAGCGAGCGGCGGACGGGUGCGUAAUGUCUGGGAAACUGCCUGAUGGAGGGGGCUAACUACUGGAAACGGUAGCUAAUACCGCCUACCAUCUGAUGUGCCCCGAUGGGAUUAGCUAGUAGGGUGGGUAAUGGCUCACCUGGGCGACGAUCCCUAGCUGGUCUGCGAGGAUGACCAGCCAAACGGGAACGGAGACACGGUCCAGACUCCUACGGGAGGAAGCAGUGGGGAAUAUUGCACAAGGGGCGCAAGCCGGAUGCAGUCAUGCCGCGUGUGGGAAGAAGGCCUUCGGGUUGUAAAGCACUUUCAGCGGGGAGGCGUUACCCGAAGAAGAAGCACCGGCUAACUACGUGCCAGCAGCCGCGGUAAUUC
Molecule: ribosomal RNA, 406 nt
Filed under: uncultured bacterium
Lineage: Bacteria
Description: partial 16S ribosomal RNA
Rfam family: Bacterial small subunit ribosomal RNA
Source: RNAcentral